GAGCAGUCCACGCCUUGUGGCGGCUUUGCGGAGCUGCUGCUUUGGCGGGAGUUGGCGGCUGGUGUGAGGUUUCUGUGGGGAGAAGGAGAGUGCCAGAGGUGACUGGUUCGUGGUUCUUCUAGGCUCUCAUGGCCACCAUGUUGGAAGGCAGAUGCCAAACUCAGCCAAGGAGCAGCCCCAGUGGCCGAGAGACUAGCCUGUGGUCGUCAGGCUUUGGGAUGAAGCUGGAGGCUGUCACUCCAUUCCUGGGGAAGUAUCGCCCCUUUGUGGGUCGCUGUUGCCAGACCUGCACCCCCAAGAGCUGGGAGUCCCUCUUCCACAGAAGCAUAAUGGACCUAGGCUUCUGCAAUGUGAUCCUGGUGAAGGAGGAGAACACAAGGUUUCGGGGCUGGCUGGUUCGGAGGCUCUGCUAUUUCCUGUGGUCCCUGGAGCAGCACAUCCCCCCCUGCCAGGAUGUCCCACAGAAGAUCAUGGAAAGCACCGGGGUGCAGAACCUCCUCUCAGGGAGGGUCCCAGGAGGCACUGGGGAAGGCCAGGUGCCUGACCUUGUGAAGAAGGAGGUACAGCGCAUCCUGGGUCACAUCCAGGCCCCACCCCGUCCCUUCCUGGUCAGGCUGUUCAGCUGGGCGCUGCUGAGGUUCCUGAACUGCCUGUUCCUGAAUGUGCAGCUCCACAAGGGUCAGAUGAAGAUGGUCCAGAAGGCCGCCCAGGCAGGCUUGCCGCUUGUCCUCCUCUCUACUCACAAAACCCUCCUGGAUGGGAUCCUGCUGCCCUUUAUGCUGCUCUCCCAGGGCCUGGGUGUGCUCCGUGUGGCCUGGGACUCCCGCACCUGCUCCCCUGCCCUCAGAGCUCUGCUGAGGAAGCUUGGGGGGCUUUUCCUGCCCCCAGAGGCCAGCCUCUCCCUGGACAGCUCUGAGGGGCUCCUUGCAAGGGCUGUGGUCCAGGCGGUCAUAGAGCAGCUGCUGGUUAGUGGGCAGCCCCUGCUCAUCUUCCUGGAGGAACCUCCUGGGGCUCUGGGGCCACGGCUGUCAGCCCUGGGCCAGGCUUGGGUGGGGUUUGUGGUGCAGGCAGUCCAGGUGGGCAUCGUCCCAGAUGCUCUGCUGGUACCAGUGGCCGUCACCUAUGACCUGGUUCCGGAUGCACCGUGUGACAUAGACCAUGCCUCGGCCCCCCUGGGGCUGUGGACAGGAGCUCUGGCUGUCCUACGUAGCUUGUGGAGCUGCUGGGGCUGCAGCCACCGGAUCUGCUCCCGGGUGCACCUAGCUCAGCCCUUUUCCCUGCAGGAAUACAUCGUCAGUGCCAGAAGCUGCUGGGGCGGCAGACAGACCCUGGAGCAGCUACUGCAGCCCAUCGUGCUGGGCCAAUGUACUGCUGUCCCAGACACUGAGAAGGAGCAGGAGUGGACCCCCAUAACUGGGCCUCUCCUGGCCCUCAAGGAAGAGGACCAGCUUCUGGUCAGGAGACUGAGCUGUCAUGUCCUGAGUGCCAGUGUAGGGAGCUCUGCGGUGAUGAGCACGGCCAUCAUGGCAACGCUGCUGCUCUUCAAGCAUCAGAAG
Molecule: small RNA, 1556 nt
Filed under: Pan troglodytes (chimpanzee)
Lineage: Eukaryota; Metazoa; Chordata; Mammalia; Primates; Hominidae
Description: retained intron
Source: RNAcentral